AACGAACGCUGGCGGCAGGCCUAACACAUGCAAGUCGAACGAGAUCUUCGGAUCUAGUGGCGGACGGGUGAGUAACGCGUGGGAACGUGCCCUUCUCUACGGAAUAGUCCUGGGAAACUGGGUUUAAUACCGGUAUACGCCCUUCGGGGGAAAGAAUUUCGGGGAAGGAUCGGCCCGCGUUGGAUUAGGUAGUUGGUGGGGUAAAUGGGCCUUACCGAAGCCGACGAUCCAUAGCUGGUUUGAGAGGAUGAUCAGCCACACUGGGACUGAGACACGGCCCAGACUCCUACGGAGGCAGCAGUGGGGAAUCUUAGACAAUGGGGGCAACCCUGAUCUAGCCACUGCCGGUGAGUGACGAAGGCCCUA
RNAcentral lists this ribosomal RNA (366 nucleotides) under uncultured bacterium. RNAcentral's name for it is "bacterial SSU rRNA". It matches the Rfam family "Bacterial small subunit ribosomal RNA", at positions 29 to 419 of the family's 1533-position model. The record is from RNAcentral.